Long non-coding RNA from Equus asinus (donkey), 2090 nucleotides. The record is from Ensembl. NCBI's taxonomy places the organism in Eukaryota, Metazoa, Chordata, Mammalia, Perissodactyla, Equidae.
GAAAGAUACACCUAAGGUGACUAAGAAUGGAUACUGUGCAAAUCUUAAGACAGCACAGAGAUUCAAGAACUAUAGCAGAAUGAAAGGCUGGGGAUAGUCACUGCAGGCUCAGGACUCCCGGCCCUAGGCUAAGCCCCAUUCUAAUUCAAGUCAAAGGAACAGAAGAGAGUUCUCCUGCAGGGCACAGGAAGGAAGGUGGAAUUCUCCCUCCUACAAAGGAGAAGAUUUAUGUUUGAGUCACAGUAUAGUGGCAAGAACUACUCUUGUGUGUUGAUCUCACCUCUGACGCUACUUGGGUCUCUAUGUCAGGAGAGUCACUUCCAACGUUCCUCGCUCCACAGCUUCAUCUGUGUGAUGGGCAGGUGUGGCUAGACCAGCAUUUCCUAAACUAUGUUCCUUGGAACAUCUGAUUCUCUUCUGCACUAAUAGGUGGCCACUAGCAACAUGUGGCUGUUGAGCACUUGAAACAUGGCUAGGGCCACAUUUUAAACUGUAAAAACUAAAGCAGUAUACAGCGGAAAAAAAGGAUGCUGGUGCCCUCAAGACAUAGGCACCACGGGAAACCUCAAAGUCCCAGAUUGAACGUGUAGUGACAGAGACCUCAAAGGAAACUAGAAAACAUGACAUUCCAAGAAGAAAUACGAGUGGCUGGAGGGCUGCAGAAAUUCCACUGUUAAGAGGCAUGAAGGAAGCCAUCUGCAAGCCAGGAAGACAAUCCUCACCAGAAACCAACCAUGCUGGCACCCUGAACUAAUGUACGUACUAUGAAGGCAAAGACGUGGUUUGGGUCACUGCUAUAUCUCCAGCACAGGAACGCUGCCUGGUACACAAUACCCCAAUAAUGGCUUUCCUCUUGCUCCUUUCUGCUUCCUGACCAAACCUGGUGCUCCCCAUGUGGCCCUGCAUGACAUGGCCUGCCCACUCCUCUCAGGAAAUGGGCAUCGAAGCUCCUAUGAAGACUCCACUGCCAGACCAAGUCACCUUAUAAGGAAGAUCCCCCAAGAAGGAACUAUGAGAUAGGAACUAACCUAUGGUGUAACAAAGUGAGACCAGCUGAAGUGACAGGUGGGCAUAUUUGGGGAGUAUCUACAACCCCCUUAUGCCAUGAAGAGUUUCUCCAUACAAUAUUUUGGGUCUACACACGACAAUGCAUCUGUAAGGUACAAGUCAUCUUUCGAAAUCACAUUUAUCCCUCCCUUGCAGUUUAAUGUCACCAUGUCAAUGGAAUAUGAACAGAAAUGAUGUGUGCCACUUUCAGACUUGGCCCAUAAAAUCCUCCCGUGCAUGCUCCUCUGUGUGUUAUCAUCUUCUCUCAGCUGGAUGCAAACGACGGUGAGAUCCUAUGUUUUGGGGUGAAGCCACAGACGGAAGGGACCUGGGUCCUUGAAUGACUGUAUGAAAGAGAGCCUGCUUCCCUAACUGAACACCUACCAGGACUGUUAGACGAGCAAGAAAUAAAUUUCUACUGCAUGGUGGACUCUGUGAUCCACCACCUAGAUUCCAUUUCAGUGAAGGACUUGUUACCCCGGCUAAGGGAGUGCUGUCGGCAGAGCCUUCAGUUCUCAGCCCCUUCAGGGACUGCCUCAGCUCUCAGAGAGUUGCCUCAUCCAAGGUCAUGCCCUUCCAGGGAAAGACCACAUCCAGAGACCAAGCAAUGUGAGAGCUCACGUCCAGCCACUGCAGUCCAACGCUUCUGUGGGGUUGACCAAAGUUGUCAUCACGCCUGAUUUGCAGCUCAACUUCUCUCUUCUCCAAUCCUGCUUCCUCUCUUUCUUUUCUACAGAUUUUCAAUCUAACAAUAAUAAACAUCCCGCACUCGAAGCUUUCCAAGUCUGCUUCUUGGAGAAGCCCCCCUGAGGCACAGUGUGAACAAACAGCAUGGUCAGGUCUGUUUGUUACAGCAUCCUGGCCUGUGUAGCUGAUACAGCAUCGAGGUGGGACAUUUUUUCUGCUGACAUGGCUGUGCUAGGGUGGCCAGCAGACACAUUCCUUGCUAUGUAGAAAACCCUGUGCCAUCUGCAACAGGAGACAAUGAGGCCAACACACAGGAGUAGAGAUAGAGCCAGAUGGGAGAGAGAAAAUUCCAGCUG